This 465-nucleotide ribosomal RNA is filed under the name uncultured bacterium. RNAcentral describes it as "partial 16S ribosomal RNA". It matches the Rfam family "Bacterial small subunit ribosomal RNA", at positions 28 to 507 of the family's 1533-position model. The record is from RNAcentral.
GACGAACGCUGGCGGCGUGCUUAACACAUGCAAGUCGAACGGAAAGGCCCUGCUUGCCGGGUACUCGAGUGUCGAACGGGUGAGUAACACGUGGGAGAUAUGCCCUGAACAUCGGGAUAAGCCUGGGAAACUGGGUCUAAUACCGGAUAGACGCCCAUUCUAGUGUGAUGGUUGGAAAGUUUUUUUGGUGUAGGAAUAGAUCGCGGCCUAUCAUCUUUGUGGGGGGGUAAUGGCCUACCAAGGCGGCGACGGGUAGCCGGCCUGGGGUGGUGGACGGGCACAAUGGGACUGGGAAACGGGCCAGGACCCUACGGGAGGGAACAGGGGGGAAUAUUGCACAAUUGGCGCAAACCUGAUUCAGCGGCGCCGCGGGGGGGAUGGCGGCCUUCGGGUUGUAAACUCCUUUCGCGAGGGACGAAGCUUUUUGUGACGGUACCUAGAUAAGAAGCACCGGCUAACUACGUG